AGUGAACGCUGGCGGUAGGCCUAACACAUGCAAGUCGAACGGCAGCACAGUAAGAGCUUGCUCUUACGGGUGGCGAGUGGCGGACGGGUGAGGAAUACAUCGGAAUCUACUUUUUCGUGGGGGAUAACGUAGGGAAACUUACGCUAAUACCGCAUACGACCUACGGGUGAAAGCAGGGGAUCUUCGGACCUUGCGCGAUUGAAUGAGCCGAUGUUGGAUUAGCUAGUUGGCGGGGUAAAGGCCCACCAAGGCGACGAUCCGUAGCCGGUCUGAGAGGAUGAUCAGCCACACUGGAACUGAGACACGGUCCAGACUCCUACGGGAGGCAGCAGUGGGGAAUAUUGGACAAUGGGCGCAAGCCUGAUCCAGCCAUACCGCGUGGGUGAAGAAGGCCUUCGGGUUGUAAAGCCCUUUUGUUGGGAAAGAAAAGCAGCAGGUUAAUACCCCGCUGUUCUGACGGUACCCAAAGAAUAAGCACCGGCUAACUUCGUG
Molecule: ribosomal RNA, 492 nt
Filed under: uncultured bacterium
Lineage: Bacteria
Description: partial 16S ribosomal RNA
Rfam family: Bacterial small subunit ribosomal RNA
Source: RNAcentral